UACGUAGGGGGCAAGCGUUGUCCGGAAUCAUUGGGCGUAAAGAGCUCGUAGGCGGCUCGUUGCGUCAGCUGUGAAAACCCGCAGCUCAACUGUGGGCUUGCAGCUGAUACGGGCGGGCUAGAAUUCGGUAGGGGAGACUGGAAUUCCUGGUGUAGCGGUGAAAUGCGCAGAUAUCAGGAGGAACACCGGUGGCGAAGGCGGGUCUCUGGGCCAUAUUGACGCUGGAGGGAGCGAAAAGCGUGGGGGAGCGAACAGG
This 256-nucleotide ribosomal RNA is filed under the name uncultured bacterium. RNAcentral describes it as "partial 16S ribosomal RNA". It matches the Rfam family "Bacterial small subunit ribosomal RNA", at positions 524 to 776 of the family's 1533-position model. The record is from RNAcentral.